This 502-nucleotide ribosomal RNA is filed under the name uncultured bacterium. RNAcentral describes it as "bacterial SSU rRNA". It matches the Rfam family "Bacterial small subunit ribosomal RNA", at positions 29 to 524 of the family's 1533-position model. The record is from RNAcentral.
AUUGAACGCUGGCGGCGUGCCUAACACAUGCAAGUCGAGCGGCAGCGCGGGAGCAAUCCUGGCGGCGAGCGGCGGACGGGUGAGUAACGCUUGGGAAUCUGCCUGUUAGUGGGGGACAACCCGGGGAAACUCGGGCUGAUACCGCAUACGCACUACGGUGGAAAGCCGGGGACCGCAAGGCCUGGCGCUAACAGAUGAGCCCAAGUCGGAUUAGCUAGUUGGUAGGGUAACGGCCACCAAGGCGACGAUCCGUAACUGGUCUGAGAGGACGACCAGUCACACCGGAACUGAGACACGGUCCGGACUCCUACGGGAGGCAGCAGUGGGGAAUAUUGGACAAUGGGGGAAACCCUGAUCCAGCGACGCCGCGUGGGUGAAGAAGGCCUGCGGGUUGUAAAGCCCUUUCAGUGGGGAAGAAAAGCCUCGACCUAAUACGUUGGGUCUUGACGUAACCCAUAGAAGAAGCACCGGCUAACUCUGUGCCAGCAGCCGCCGCGGUAAC